This 499-nucleotide ribosomal RNA is filed under the name uncultured Glomeromycotina. RNAcentral describes it as "partial small subunit ribosomal RNA". It matches the Rfam family "Eukaryotic small subunit ribosomal RNA", at positions 591 to 1092 of the family's 1831-position model. The record is from RNAcentral. Lineage: Eukaryota; Fungi; Glomeromycota.
CCAAUAGCGUAUAUUAAAGUUGCUGCAGUUAAAAAGCUCGUAGUUGAAUUUCGGGACCAUCAUGUCGGUCGUGCCUCGGUACGUACUGGCAUUGUUGGUUUCUACCUUCUGACGAACCAUGAUGUCAUUUAUUUGGUGUCGUGGGAAAUCAGGACUGUUACUUUGAAACAAUUAGAGUGUUUAAAGCAGGCUCACGCUUGAAUACAUUAGGAUGGAAUAAUGAAAUAGGACGUUUGAUUCUAUUUUGUUGGUUUCUAGGAUCGACGUAAUGAUUAAUAGGGAUAGUUGGGGGCAUUAGUAUUCAAUUGUCAGAGGUGAAAUUCUUGGAUUUAUUGAAGACUAACUACUGCGAAAGCAUUUGCCAAGGAUGUUUUCAUUAAUCAAGAACGAAAGUUAGGGGAUCGAAGACGAUCAGAUACCGUCGUAGUCUUAACCAUAAACUAUGCCGACUAGGGAUCGGAUGAUAUUAAUUUUUUAAUGACUCAUUCGGCGCCUUACG